GUUCUACCUUGACGAAUUGUAGUUUAAAGAAGUGUUUUCUGUUAGAGGAGUAGCAAAAGUUCCUUGGAAUGGGACAUCAUAGAGGGUGAGAAUCCCGUAUUUGGAUAUUCUUUCUAGCUUUGUGAUACACUUUCAAAGAGUCGGAUUGUUUGGGAAUGCAGUCCAAAAUGGGUGGUAAAUUUCAUCUAAAGCUAAAUAUUGGCGAGAGACCGAUAGCGAACAAGUACCGUGAGGGAAAGAUGAAAAGAACUUUGAAAAGAGAGUUAAACAGUACGUGAAAUUGUCAAAAGGGAAGCGUUUGACACCAGUGUUGUUUUUCCGAAAAUCAAUUAAGAAGGGCUUGAUUUUGUGUUGUAUUGACCUUAUCAGCUUUCUUCACUCUUUUUCGAGUCUUUCUU
RNAcentral lists this ribosomal RNA (398 nucleotides) under uncultured Neocallimastigomycetes. RNAcentral's name for it is "eukaryotic LSU rRNA". It matches the Rfam family "Eukaryotic large subunit ribosomal RNA", at positions 127 to 522 of the family's 3401-position model. Lineage: Eukaryota; Fungi; Neocallimastigomycota; Neocallimastigomycetes. The record is from RNAcentral.